Molecule: non-coding RNA, 24 nt
Filed under: Arabidopsis thaliana (thale cress)
Lineage: Eukaryota; Viridiplantae; Streptophyta; Magnoliopsida; Brassicales; Brassicaceae
Source: RNAcentral
AGGUUUCAUGUUAUUGAACGGAGC